This 340-nucleotide ribosomal RNA is filed under the name uncultured bacterium. RNAcentral describes it as "bacterial SSU rRNA". It matches the Rfam family "Bacterial small subunit ribosomal RNA", at positions 28 to 371 of the family's 1533-position model. The record is from RNAcentral.
GAUGAACGCUAGCGGCAGGCCUAACACAUGCAAGUCGAGGGGUAGUUACUUUCGGGUAAUGAGACCGGCGCACGGGUGCAUAACGCGUAUGCAAUCUACCUUUUACAGGGGAAUAGCCCAGAGAAAAUUUGGAUUAAUGCCCCAUAGUAUGUAUGAAUCGCAUGUUUUAUACAUUAAAGUUCUAACGGUAAAAGAUGAGCAUGCGUCCCAUUAGUUAGUUGGUAAGGUAACGGCUUACCAAGACGAUGAUGGUAGGGGUCCUGAGAGGGAGAUCCCCCACACUGGUACUGAGACACGGACCAGACUCCUACGGGAGGCAGCAGUGAGGAAUAUUGGACAA